This 253-nucleotide ribosomal RNA is filed under the name uncultured prokaryote. RNAcentral's name for it is "partial 16S ribosomal RNA". It matches the Rfam family "Bacterial small subunit ribosomal RNA", at positions 524 to 776 of the family's 1533-position model. The record is from RNAcentral.
UACAGAGGGUGCGAGCGUUAAUCGGAAUUAUUGGGCGUAAAGGGCGCGUAGGCGGAUUUUCAAGUGGUAGGUAAAAGACCUGGGCUUAACCUGGGGGUGUCCUAUCAGACUGAGAGUCUAGAAUGAGGUAGAGGAAGGCGGAAUUCCUGGUGUAGCGGUGAAAUGCGUAGAUAUCAGGAAGAACAUCGAUGGCGAAGGCAGCCUUCUGGGCCUAAAUUGACGCUGAGGCGCGAAAGCGUGGGGAGCGAACAGG